CUACGGGAUGCUCCAGUGGGGAAUAUUGGGCAAUGGAGGAAACUCUGACCCAGCGACGCCGCGUGCGGGAUGAAGGCCUUCGGGUUGUAAACCGCUUUCAGCAGGGAAUAAGCGAAAGUGAAGGUACCUGCAGAAGAAGCACCGGCUAACUAUGUGCCAGCAGCCGCGGUAAUACAUAGGGUGCAAGCGUUGUCCGGAAUUAUUGGGCGUAAAGAGCUCGUAGGUGGUUUGUUACGUCGGAUGUGAAAUGCAGGGGCUCAACCCCUGACUUGCAUCCGAUACGGGCAAGCUAGAGUUUGGUAGGGGAGACUGGAAUUCCUGGUGUAGCGGUGGAAUGCGCAGAUAUCAGGAGGAACACCGAUGGCGAAGGCAGGCCUCUGGGCCAAUACUGACACUGAGGAGCGAAAGCGUGGGGAGCGAACAGGAUUAGAUACCCUUGUAGUC
This 444-nucleotide ribosomal RNA is filed under the name uncultured bacterium. RNAcentral's name for it is "partial 16S ribosomal RNA". It matches the Rfam family "Bacterial small subunit ribosomal RNA", at positions 339 to 795 of the family's 1533-position model. The record is from RNAcentral.